UACGAGAGGCCCAACCGUUAUUCGGAAUUACUGGGCUUAAAGAGUUCGUAGGCGGCAUUGUAAGUCGGGUGUGAAAGCCCUCGGCUCAACCGAGGAAUUGCGCUCUAAACUGCAGUGCUUGAGGAACCUAGAGGUGAGCAGAACAGAUGGUGGAGCGGUGAAAUGCGUUGAUAUCAUCUGGAAUACCGGAGGCGAAGGCGGCUCACUGGGAGUUUUCUGACGCUGAGGAACGAAAGCCAGGGUAGCGAACGGG
This 253-nucleotide ribosomal RNA is filed under the name uncultured bacterium. Its description in RNAcentral is "partial 16S ribosomal RNA". It matches the Rfam family "Bacterial small subunit ribosomal RNA", at positions 524 to 776 of the family's 1533-position model. The record is from RNAcentral.